GGGCCCGCACAAGCGGUGGAGCAUGUGGUUUAAUUCGACGCAACGCGAAGAACCUUACCCAGACUUGACAUGCAUUGGACGGGUGUGGAAACACACCUUUCCUUCGGGACCAAUGCACAGGUGCUGCAUGGCUGUCGUCAGCUCGUGUCGUGAGAUGUUGGGUUAAGUCCCGCAACGAGCGCAACCCUUGUCCUUAGUUGCUAACGGGUAAAGCCGAGCACUCUAAGGAGACUGCCGGUGGUAAACCGGAGGAAGGUGGGGAUGACGUCAAGUCCUCAUGGCCCUUACGUCUGGGGCUACACACGUGCUACAAUGGCCGGUACAAAGGGUUCCGAUACCGCGAGGUGGAGGCAAUCCCAAAAAACCGGUCUCAGUUCGGAUUGCAGUCUGCAACUCGACUGCAUGAAGUUGGAAUCGCUAGUAAUCGCUGAUCAGCAGGCAGCGGUGAAUACGUUCCCGGGCCUU
Molecule: ribosomal RNA, 465 nt
Filed under: uncultured bacterium
Lineage: Bacteria
Description: bacterial SSU rRNA
Rfam family: Bacterial small subunit ribosomal RNA
Source: RNAcentral